UCUAAUCUAAUUAGAGAUUAAAUCAAGUUAUAAUUCUCACAAUUUUCACUAAACUAUUUAGUGUAUUGACUCAUCUUAUCAAAUUGGAUGCACACAAUUCCUAUUGUGUGUGACCGCAUAGGUCCAUUAUCAUUCGGCAGUGGAAUUCAAUAUUAAACUCUUUAAUAUUGAAUUAGAACUCUUCUAAUCUAUGAAAUAAUUUAUUUUAAAUUAUUUUUACUUCUCACUGUCCGUGAGUGACACCUAGCAGUAUAUCACGGUAAUCCAGAAUGAUGAUGAAAAAUGAACCUUUCUGCUAUCAGUUAUCGUGUGAUUAAUUCCUUCCAACACACAACGUCCCGAUCAAACUAAAAUUAUGAUUACUCGCCAAAUCUUAUUAUUCGAUCAUAUGACUAGAAUAUCUAAAACUGACUCAAUAUGGUAACACAGCUGGAAACUCUUUCCACACACCACAUACCCUGGCCAAGGAUUUUCCGAGUCAAGUUCGACAGUCUACAUAGGACAUUCUCUCUCACUAUUGAGAGUGUUGGAUUCCUUAUUGCGCAUUCACAUGCCUCCCCAUAUAAACUACUACAGCCAAUCAGUACCAGACAUAGACCAAUGAUUAGAGUCUAAGUAUUAGUACAGUUAAACAGUAGCAAUCUACAUGUGAAGCAACCAUGAUGCCUCAGGUCUAAGGAGUACUUCACACAACUGUAGCAAAGAACUAGUCACUGGCGAAUUCGGAACCAUGUGACUGUUCAACUAAAUGGUCACGCUCAGUGUACUUGUUCGCUAACAAGCACCUGCAUGCUUACUUUAGUGUCCCUACACUAAUGACUUGAGAUUCGUCACCUCAACUUAGAAGUAUAGCAUACACCGGCCUAUCCAGAAAUAUCAUCGUCCUUAUGAUAUUCCUAUGGCUAGGAGCAUUUAAGAAUCUUGUACAAAGAAAUAUAUAUCUCAAAUUCCUAACUCUUAGGAAUAUAUUUUCUUAACGAAGAUUCAAUGGACGAUUCAUAUAUAUGUAUUGUACUGCUAACAAUAAAUAUGAAUAAAACUUGCCCUUUAUUAAUUAAGAAAAAUACUUAAUAUAUUCACAAGCCUGUGUCAC
This 1093-nucleotide long non-coding RNA is filed under the name Ananas comosus (pineapple). RNAcentral's name for it is "long non-coding RNA (ACOM_LNC042831)". The record is from RNAcentral. Lineage: Eukaryota; Viridiplantae; Streptophyta; Magnoliopsida; Poales; Bromeliaceae.